ACAAGCGGUGGAGCAUGUGGUUAAUUCGAAGCAACGCGAAGAACCUUACCAGGUCUUGACAUCCCUGACAACCCGAGAGAUCGGGCGGUUCCCCUUCGGGGGACAGGGUGACAGGUGGUGCAUGGUUGUCGUCAGCUCGUGUCGUGAGAUGUUGGGUUAAGUCCCGCAACGAGCGCAACCCUCGACCUUAGUUGCCAGCAUUCAGUUGGGCACUCUAAGGUGACUGCCGGCUAAAAGUCGGAGGAAGGUGGGGAUGACGUCAAAUCAUCAUGCCCCUUAUGACCUGGGCUACACACGUGCUACAAUGGGCGGUACAAAGGGUCGCGAACCCGCGAGGGGGAGCCAAUCCCAAAAAGCCGCUCUCAGUUCGGAUUGCAGGCUGCAACUCGCCUGCAUGAAGCCGGAAUCGCUAGUAAUCGCGGAUCAGCAUGCCGCGGUGAAUACGUUCCCGGGCCUU
This 457-nucleotide ribosomal RNA is filed under the name uncultured Anoxybacillus sp. RNAcentral's name for it is "bacterial SSU rRNA". It matches the Rfam family "Bacterial small subunit ribosomal RNA", at positions 925 to 1382 of the family's 1533-position model. The record is from RNAcentral. Lineage: Bacteria; Bacillati; Bacillota; Bacilli; Caryophanales; Anoxybacillaceae.